This 228-nucleotide ribosomal RNA is filed under the name uncultured bacterium. Its description in RNAcentral is "partial 16S ribosomal RNA". It matches the Rfam family "Bacterial small subunit ribosomal RNA", at positions 108 to 334 of the family's 1533-position model. The record is from RNAcentral.
AGGUAACGCGUGAGGAACCUGCCUCAAAGAGGGGGACAACAGUUGGAAACGACUGCUAAUACCGCAUAAGCCCACAGCUCGGCAUCGAGCAGAGGGAAAAGGAGUGAUCCGCUUUGAGAUGGCCUCGCGUCCGAUUAGCUAGUUGGUGAGGUAAUGGCCCACCAAGGCGACGAUCGGUAGCCGGACUGAGAGGUUGAACGGCCACAUUGGGACUGAGACACGGCCCAG